This is a long non-coding RNA of Rosa chinensis, 676 nucleotides long. RefSeq lists it as uncharacterized. The record is from RefSeq and is a predicted model, not a curated record. NCBI's taxonomy places the organism in Eukaryota, Viridiplantae, Streptophyta, Magnoliopsida, Rosales, Rosaceae. The transcript is spliced from 4 exons.
CUUCAUAACAGUUGGUGUGGGAUCUUUGUGUCGUACUUUGCUGCGUUUAAUUUGGGCGUUUGAAGUGGAUAAGAAUAAAACCAAUGGAUAAAUCAUGGAUGGAAGGUGACUAUUGAAGUCUUGUGGAGUUGAAAUGUUUUUCUAGUUUGCUGCAUCAGAGACAAACUAAAUGAUAAACUCACAAACAUCAGAGAGAACGAGAAGGCCUUUAGAGAUGAUUGGAGCUGUUCUGUUUAGUUGGAGGGAUGAAACCAGAAAAUUAAACUGAGGGGUGCUAAAUUUUAGGUUGCCAAAACAAGUGGGCGGUGGUGAAUGUGGCUACUAUGUCAUGAGAUACAUGAAGGAACUGAUUGAGGAUCCAAUGCUUUCUUUUGCACAUAAGUGGAGUAGGAAGUCGAAGAGAACUAGCUACUCUCAAGAGCAAAUUGAUGAGGUGCGGAUUGAAUGGAGUGAGUUUGUUACAAGGAAAUACUUGUAGAUGUUUAUGAUCAAGCGUGAUAUUUGUAGUGCUGCUUUUUAUGGAACAAGUAGUCUUUGUUGAUCGUAUGUUAAGUUGGACAGAAUUAUUUAAGUUUCAUUGUUUAAUAUGUAGUAGUACUUAAGUAGUUUACUUGUUGUAGAACAUGAUAUUUUAACUUUUGGUUUAUGAAAGAUAUAUUGCUUAAUAAUUUUUUGG